CUACGGGAGGCAGCAGUAGGGAAUCUUCCGCAAUGGACGAAAGUCUGACGGAGCAACGCCGCGUGAGCGAAGAAGGUCUUCGGAUCGUAAAGCUCUGUUGUUAGGGAAGAACAAGUACUGUUCAAAUAGGGCGGUACCUUGACAGUACCUAACCGGAAAGCCACGGCUAACUACGUGCCAGCAGCCGCGGUAAUACGUAGGUGGCAAGCGUUAUCCGGAAUUAUUGGGCGUAAAGCGCGCGCAGGCGGUCCUUUAAGUCUGAUGUGAAAGCCCACGGCUCAACCGUGGAGGGUCAUUGGAAACUGGGGGACUUGAGUGCAGAAGAGGAGAGCGGAAUUCCACGUGUAGCGGUGAAAUGCGUAGAGAUGUGGAGGAACACCAGUGGCGAAGGCGGCUCUCUGGUCUGUAACUGACGCUGAGGCGCGAAAGCGUGGGGAGCGAACAGGAUUAGAUACCCUGGUAGUCCACGCCGUAAACGAUGAGUGCUAAGUGUUAGAGGGCUUCCGCCCUUUAGUGCUGCAGCAAACGCAUUAAGCACUCCGCCUGGGGAGUAUCGGUCGCAAGACUGAAACUCAAAUGAAUUGACGGGG
Molecule: ribosomal RNA, 590 nt
Filed under: uncultured Bacillus sp.
Lineage: Bacteria; Bacillati; Bacillota; Bacilli; Caryophanales; Bacillaceae
Description: bacterial SSU rRNA
Rfam family: Bacterial small subunit ribosomal RNA
Source: RNAcentral